This 56-nucleotide transfer RNA is filed under the name Ovis aries (sheep). It matches the Rfam family "tRNA", at positions 8 to 63 of the family's 71-position model. From Rfam's summary of the family: Transfer RNA (tRNA) molecules are approximately 80 nucleotides in length. Lineage: Eukaryota; Metazoa; Chordata; Mammalia; Artiodactyla; Bovidae. The record is from Rfam by way of RNAcentral.
UGGCUCAGACGAAAAGCGUCUGCCUGAAAUGCAGGAGACCCGGGUUCAAUUCCUGG